UAAUACGGAGGGUGCAAGCGUUGUUCGGAUUUAUUGGGCGUAAAGCGAGUGUAGGCGGUUUGUUAAGUCAGAAGUGAAAGCCCCGGGCUCAACCCGGGAAGUGCUUUUGAAACUGGCAGACUUGAGUACGGGAGAGGGUAGAGGUAUUCUAGGGGUAGCGGUAAAAUGCAAUAAUCCCUAGAGGACCACCUGUGGCGAAAGCGUCUAACUAGAACGGGUCUGACGGUGAGGAACGAAAGCUAGGGGAGCGAACCGGAUUAGAUACCCGAGUAGUCCUAGCCGUAAACACUGUAAGUUAGGUGUUGCAUAUUCCACGAGAAUAUGCAAUGUCGGAGCGAAGGCGUUAAACUUACCGCCUGGGUAGUACGGUCGCAAGACUG
Molecule: ribosomal RNA, 380 nt
Filed under: uncultured Halobacteria archaeon
Lineage: Archaea; Methanobacteriati; Methanobacteriota; Halobacteria
Description: bacterial SSU rRNA
Rfam family: Bacterial small subunit ribosomal RNA
Source: RNAcentral